Molecule: ribosomal RNA, 253 nt
Filed under: uncultured bacterium
Lineage: Bacteria
Description: partial 16S ribosomal RNA
Rfam family: Bacterial small subunit ribosomal RNA
Source: RNAcentral
UACAGAGGGGGCAAGCGUUAUUCGGAAUUAUUGGGCGUAAAGGGCGCGUAGGCGGCCUGGCAAGUGGAAGGUGAAAUCCCUCGGCUUAACCGAGGAACUGCCCUCCAAACUGCUUGGCUUGAGUCCGGGAGAGGUGAGUGGAAUUCCUGGUGUAGCGGUGAAAUGCGCAGAUAUCAGGAGGAACACCAAUGGCGAAGGCAGCUCGCUGGGACGGUACUGACGCUGAGGCGCGAAAGCGUGGGGAGCAAACAGG